CUCAAAUGCCCAUUAUCAUGGGAAUGUGCAUUGCUGCUGUCAUUUAUUUCCAUUGUUUCCACUCUGGACAUUGUGGACAACCAUCGCCUUCUCAGCUAUUAUUCUACACAAAUUUUAUAGUAUAGCACCAGCAUGUGAGAAUCAAAAUUUCCAUUGAAAAAAGUUCAUGUGUUAAACAUGAUUGUACGAUUAAGUGACAAAGCGAGAAAAAUUAAUUUUUAACAAAAGCUAAAAAUUAGAAAUUGACCCAAAAAUAUUUCCAUGAAUACCAUGAAUAUGAGCUUACAAUAGGAAAUUUCCUGAAUGUUGAACACAUUUUAAAUUAUAUCUUAUACUUUCGAUUUUAUUAAUUUGUUUUACAAGUUACUGAUUUUGUUUUAGUUGUAUCCAACGAGUCAAGGCAUACGCCCAAUCUAUCCUGCAGUGGCAGUAAAAGAUAAAUCCCUUACGAAAUCUUCAUUUUUUUUUUGUAAAACACCAUAGUUCUGUCUUGUGAAUUUUGGGAUUCAGAAUGAACCCACAUUAUCCAACUCAACAAUUUUUAUUAGCAUCUAAAGCCCACCUCAACUCCAUAUCAACAUGAAAACACAAACUAAACCCAUUGAAAAUAAUUGAAACAAAACCAAACACUAUAAACCAAAUUGAUAAAAAUAAGAGAAAUAAUACAACUUAAAAAAAUUGUAAAGUGCAAAAUUUAGUCCCUAAAAUUAUCUCAAGCAUCUUACUAUCUUGGUAACCAAACAAACACACAAUUCACUUUAAAACUCUGGAACAAGUUUCCCAAGGAAAUAGAAAAGUUGUAACUUCAAGUCCCCGAUGACUCAAUUAGGCAAACUAUUGAGGCCAAUUUCAUAAACCCAGAAGGUAAUAGCUGUCAAGCCAUAACCUCGCCUCAUAGUCCUAACAAGCAUUGAUUUUUUUUUUCCAAUCAAGCCAAUACAAAGCAACUAAAUUAUCGAAUCAACCAGUGAAGUCACAAUAAGCAGCUCAAAAUUCACUCUUGCAAACUGCUUCCACUCACUUACACAAGACCAAUCAUUAAAAUCAAAAUAUUCGCAUACCCAAUUGAUUGAUAACUUGGUAAUGACAAAAACGAGAGAAACCCAUUAUAAUUCACAUGAUUAGCAUUGAAAUUAAAGAUCAAUAUAAGGAAAACUUCCUAAAAACAACAACAACCCAUAUAGAAUUUCUCAACAGAGAGAGACGAGAAAGAAAGCGCACCUUCGUUUUGGACGGCUCCAAAUGGGUUUACGCCGAAAGAGCACUCACUUAUGCAGUUCUAGUCUAGCUAUCUCUGGUGUGGUAGGAAGAUUCGAGAAUUUGGCCAGAAAGGAAGAACAAAAAUUAAAGGGAGACAAAGUAAAAGAUUUGUGCAGGUUUUUGAAUCCAAUGUGCUGAGAAGGUGUCAAAAUCUAUGUGAGCAAACCAGC
RNAcentral lists this long non-coding RNA (1430 nucleotides) under Manihot esculenta (cassava). RNAcentral's name for it is "long non-coding RNA (MESC_LNC005278)". Lineage: Eukaryota; Viridiplantae; Streptophyta; Magnoliopsida; Malpighiales; Euphorbiaceae. The record is from RNAcentral.